RNAcentral lists this long non-coding RNA (220 nucleotides) under Monodelphis domestica (gray short-tailed opossum). RNAcentral describes it as "lncRNA (ENSMODG00000034740.2)". The record is from RNAcentral. Lineage: Eukaryota; Metazoa; Chordata; Mammalia; Didelphimorphia; Didelphidae.
UCUUGACUGGAGACUCUCUAGAAGUCUCCUCAAUUCCAGAAGUGUAAUCUAAAAAUGAUUCUAAGUCUUAAGUAUCAGACCUCAGUGGACAGCCUUGUGCAAGGCACCUAGGAAAGAAAACUGAGGGAGGUCGAAGACUGCUACUAUUUCCCAAAGGUAAGGCAACACACAUUCCCAACUGCUCUUCCUUUUUUCAUUUGUUAGUCCAACAAACCUUUUU